RNAcentral lists this ribosomal RNA (770 nucleotides) under Bothriocera sp. 2 PCC-2008. RNAcentral describes it as "eukaryotic LSU rRNA". It matches the Rfam family "Eukaryotic large subunit ribosomal RNA", at positions 1284 to 1921 of the family's 3401-position model. The record is from RNAcentral. Lineage: Eukaryota; Metazoa; Arthropoda; Insecta; Hemiptera; Cixiidae.
AACAACUCACCUGCCGAAGCAACCAGCCCUGAAAAUGGAUGGCGCUCUAGCGUCGUGCCUAUACCGGGCCGUCAACGGUACAGUGGGUCCCCGGCAUCUGUCGGAGUCCGUUAUGCCUUGACGAGUAGGAGGGUCGCGGCGGUGUGCGCAGAAGGGUCUGGGCGUGAGCCUGCCUGGAGCCGCCGUCGGCGCAGAUCUUGGUGGUAGUAGCAAAUACUCUAGCGAGGGCCUGGAGGGCUGACGUGGAGAAGGGUUUCUUGUGAACAGCCGUUGCACAAGAGUCAGUCGACCCUAAGCUCUAGGAGAAAUCCGAUGUUGAUGGGUAGCUAAACAGAACGCAACGUCUGUGUGCUCGGCAAGCGGAGUGAGCUGUGUGCUCGCCGCUUCUGUAGCAACGGCUCCUGUCGAGCUAAAGGGAAUCCGGUUCAUAUUCCGGAACCUGGCAGCGUAACCGCCACACAGCGGGCACUCGCCCGCGAGCGCUCGUCGGGGUAACCCAAACUGACCCGGAGACGCCGGCGGGGGAUCCGGAAAGAGUUGUCUUUUCUUUUUAAGCGUUCGAGUACCCUGGAAUCCUAUAGCAGGGAGAUAGGGUUUGGAACGCGAAGAGCACCGCAGUUGCGGCGGUGUCCGGAUCUUCCCCCCGGACCUUGAAAAUCCGGGUGAGGGCUACGUGGAAGUCGCGCCUGGUCGUACCCAUAUCCGCAGCUGGUCUCCAAGGUUAAGAGCCUCUAGUCGAUAGAAUAAUGUAGGUAAGGGAAGUCGGCAAA